This 253-nucleotide ribosomal RNA is filed under the name uncultured bacterium. Its description in RNAcentral is "partial 16S ribosomal RNA". It matches the Rfam family "Bacterial small subunit ribosomal RNA", at positions 524 to 776 of the family's 1533-position model. The record is from RNAcentral.
UACGUAGGGAGCAAGCGUUGUCCGGAAUCAUUGGGCGUAAAGCGCGCGUAGGUGGCCUCAUAAGUCCGCUGUGAAAGUCAAAGGCUCAACCUUUGAAAGCCGGUGGAUACUGUGGGGCUAGAGUACGGAAGAGGCGAGUGGAAUUCCUGGUGUAGCGGUGGAAUGCGCAGAUAUCAGGAGGAACACCUAUAGCGAAGGCAGCUUGCUGGGACGUUACUGACGCUAAGGCGCGAAAGCGUGGGGAGCGAACAGG